UGGGGAAUAGUGUAACGGUAGCACGACAGACUCUGACUCUGUUUGUUGGGGUUCGA
RNAcentral lists this transfer RNA (56 nucleotides) under Clostridium sp. CAG:413. It matches the Rfam family "tRNA", at positions 1 to 56 of the family's 71-position model. Rfam says of the family: Transfer RNA (tRNA) molecules are approximately 80 nucleotides in length. Their secondary structure includes four short double-helical elements and three loops (D, anti-codon, and T loops). Lineage: Bacteria; Bacillati; Bacillota; Clostridia; Eubacteriales; Clostridiaceae. The record is from Rfam by way of RNAcentral.